AUUGAACGCUGGCGGCAUGCCUUACACAUGCAAGUCGAACGGCAGCACGGGUGCUUGCCCCUGGUGGCGAGUGGCGAACGGGUGAGUAAUACAUCGGAACAUGUCCUGUAGUGGGGGAUAGCCCGGCGAAAGCCGGAUUAAUACCGCAUACGAUCUACGGAUGAAAGCGGGGGACCUUCGGGCCUCGCGCUAUAGGGUUGGCCGAUGGCUGAUUAGCUAGUUGGUGGGGUAAAGGCCUACCAAGGCGACGAUCAGUAGCUGGUCUGAGAGGACGACCAGCCACACUGGGACUGAGACACGGCCCAGACUCCUACGGGAGGCAGCAGUGGGGAAUUUUGGACAAUGGGCGAAAGCCUGAUCCAGCAAUGCCGCGUGUGUGAAGAAGGCCUUCGGGUUGUAAAGCACUUUUGUCCGGAAAGAAAUCCUUGGCCCUAAUACGGUCGGGGGGAUGACGGUACCGGAAGAAUAAGCACCGGCUAACUACGUG
This 487-nucleotide ribosomal RNA is filed under the name uncultured bacterium. RNAcentral's name for it is "partial 16S ribosomal RNA". It matches the Rfam family "Bacterial small subunit ribosomal RNA", at positions 30 to 507 of the family's 1533-position model. The record is from RNAcentral.